This 253-nucleotide ribosomal RNA is filed under the name uncultured bacterium. RNAcentral's name for it is "partial 16S ribosomal RNA". It matches the Rfam family "Bacterial small subunit ribosomal RNA", at positions 524 to 776 of the family's 1533-position model. The record is from RNAcentral.
UACGUAGGGGGCAAGCGUUAUCCGGAUUUACUGGGCGUAAAGCGCGCGUAGGCGGUUGCGCAAGUCGGUUGUGAAAUCUCCCGGCUCAACCGGGAAACUGCAGCCAAUACUGCGUGGCUAGAGUGGCAGAGAGGAAAGUGGAAUUCCCGGUGUAGUAGUGAAAUGCGUAGAUAUCGGGAGGAACACCAGCGGCGAAGGCGACUUUCUGGCUGCCAACUGACACUGAGACGCGAAAGCUAGGGGAGCGAACGGG